CCUACGGGUGGCUGCAGUGAGGAAUAUUGGUCAAUGGUCGGGAGACUGAACCAGCCAAGCCGCGUGAGGGAUGAAGGUACAGAGUAUCGUAAACCUCUUUUGUCAGGGAACAAAGGCGGGGACGCGUCUCCGGGUGAGUGUACCUGAAGCAAAAGCAUCGGCUAACUCCGUGCCAGCAGCCGCGGUAAUACGGGGGAGGCGAGCGUUAUCCGGAGUUAGUGGGUUCAAAGGGUGCGCCGGCGGUCUGUUAAGUCAGCGGUCAAAGCCCGGGGCUCAACCCCGGCCAGCCGUUGACACUGGCAGUCUCGAGUUGGAGAGAAGUAUGCGGAAUGCGCGGUGUAGCGGUGAAAUGCAUAGAUAUCGCGCAGAACUCCGAUUGCGAAGGCAGCAUGCCGGCUCCACACUGACGCUGAGGCACGAAAGCGUGGGUAUCGAACAGGAUUAGAUACCCUUGUAGUC
RNAcentral lists this ribosomal RNA (459 nucleotides) under uncultured bacterium. RNAcentral describes it as "partial 16S ribosomal RNA". It matches the Rfam family "Bacterial small subunit ribosomal RNA", at positions 338 to 795 of the family's 1533-position model. The record is from RNAcentral.